GGUUGAUCCUGCCAGUAGUCAUAUGCUUGUCUCAAAGAUUAAGCCAUGCAUGUCUAAGUAUAAACAAAUUCAUACUGUGAAACUGCGAAUGGCUCAUUAAAUCAGUUAUAGUUUAUUUGAUGGUACCUUACUACAUGGAUAACUGUGGUAAUUCUAGAGCUAAUACAUGCUGAAAAGCCCCAACUUCUGGAAGGGGUGUAUUUAUUAGAUAAAAAACCAAUGAGGGCAACCUCUUGCGUUGAUUCAUGAUAACUUCUCGAAUCGCAUGGCCUUGUGCCGGCGAUGCUUCAUU
This 292-nucleotide ribosomal RNA is filed under the name uncultured eukaryote. Its description in RNAcentral is "partial 18S ribosomal RNA". It matches the Rfam family "Eukaryotic small subunit ribosomal RNA", at positions 6 to 299 of the family's 1831-position model. The record is from RNAcentral.